CUCCUCCACGCACGCGACCUCUUCAGCUCUACGGCCAGCUGGGAAGGACCUCGCGCCCGAGUGCUGCGCCCAGGCCCACAAAGCCGGCCAUCUGGGUGAGGCCGUGCAGGGCAGGGAUUGGGAAGGAGAGACAUUAGCUCUAGCCAGAUCGGCCGCGCGUGCCUCCGUGACGCCGGCCUCCCUCGUGGUCCUUCAUUACCCCACGCUUCGAGCUCCACUGCCGCCCUCUCCUUUCAUCUCCUCUUCCACCACGUGGAUGGGGACGGUACCCUCAAUCACCACCACCGUCGACGGCGUACUCUGCAUCCCUCAUCGACCCAUCGAGUCGCCCUCCCCUUGGGUCCAACCGGCUUGGUUCUAGCGGCGGCGCAAGCUCCAGCCGUGCAAUGGGAAGUGAAGCAAGGUGGGCACGUACAGAUCAAUCAGCAACUCCUUGUCGUGUGGCUACAUCGCCGGCGGUGGUCGGCCGAGUUCAGCUCGCUGGUGACGAAACUUGAAUCCGUGUCAUCAAGAGGAAUAGAUCAGGAGAGGGCGAGAUAUCAGAAGGUUGAAGAACUGAAAGAAACAAUAAGAACAACAGAAGACGCAAAAAAUCAUUCACUCAAAGAGUAUAAGCUUAUUAAGGUAUCCUGCUUUUCAAGUAUGCGGUGCUGUAGUGAACUAGUGAUCGAUUCAUGUGUGGAUUAGUUUACCUCUUUCUAAGGUAUCUUGCUAAUUAUCCUAAAGGCAUGCUAUUCCUUUUUGUUUGUGUUAAGCAGGUAACUUGUAAUGGUUGCUAAUUAUAUAUUCAUGUGCACCAGAUUAUGCUCUUUUGACUUCGUAUCACUUUACUUAUACUUAAUUACAAGCUAAGUAUCUGUUUACUUGUUUCCAUUAAGAAAAGUAUCUUCAAAAUAUGUGAAGGUUAUAUAAGAUCAAAAUAUUAACAUGUAAAUCUGAAAUAUAAACAUCAGUGAGCAAUGCUCCUGCAUCAGGGACUCAGGGUAUAAAUGUGCGUUUUUAGAUUGAGUACAUUCUAUUCCAUUAAUCGCUACGACCAGCAAUAUCGUCUCCAGCUACCAAACUGAGCACAAAGUCAGGAUCACCAUCUAGCUAGCCAAACACACGUCAGCGACCUUGUAACAAUGCAUCUUUGUUUCUCAGAUAUUUUUUUGACCUGUAUACUAUUUAUUUGGUUUGUGUUCCUGUUCUUUAUCGAAAAAUAUAUCCAUAUUGUUUAUACACAUUAUUACCUCUCUGUAAAAAUUGAUGUUUUCAGAGAUCCGGUGAAGAAAUGUCCUUCAUCGCUGAGACUAUACUGUUGGACAGUGUCAUUGCUUCUGAAUCAACUAAAGUAUCUGUAAUAUAAACCUGUUGCCCAUGUGUUCAUAUGUGCUUAUCAGUGCAAUAAGCAUCUUUCAUGUCUCUGUUUCUAGCCAUCUGAUUGAUUUCAAUUUCUUUCUGAUAUGCAUCGCGAUAUAAUGAGUUUAUCUACGACCACCUCAUCACUAACAUCCGCAAUAGCAAAGUCACCGCCAACCUAGCCGCAGCCGUAGCCAAGGCUGGCAUAACUGGAUGCGAUAAGACAAAUGGUAAUCUUCUGUACGCAGGAUGUCACAUGUUCUACAAUCUUUGGUGUUUCGGGAUCAUUUGGACAAGUUUACAGAGGAGAAUGACAUGGAACACUCGCUCGUCUUGCUGAGAUGGAGGUGAAGUAUCAAUUAAAGUUCUGGAAAUUGGCCUCCCACUGGGAGGAAUUGCAAAGUUGUUUGCUUAGGAUUUGCUCAUGAUUGUUGAUUAGAACGAACAUAAUUGUCCAUUGUCCUGCUCUCAUUAGAUCUUGCACUGUCGCCCUUGGAUAUUGGGAAGUCUGAAGAAGCCUGUGGUUUAGCGCGUCUGGGCAUUGGAGUGGGCCAACUACCUGACGAUGGGAAAGAUGGAGAUGCUCUCUGAGCAACAGUUGCUGCGACCAUGAGGUGGCCAACCGUUACUUGAUUAUGACGAGAAGUACCUAAGUUCAAUACCAAAGAUUAGUGAUUCAUGUCAAAAAUUUCAGAGUAGAACAAUAUGUCUUUAGGUUGUCCUUCCCUAAUUAAUUCAGUCAUAGUAACAUUGAUAUGCUAUUUCUUUUUGGCUGCUCACACAUCUUCAUAACUAGUGGUCGCACCCUUGGUGCGCCUCCUGAGUGGUGACUCUGCGGUGCCAGUCCAACUGUUCCAUACCAGAGGAGAGAGGGGAGUGGCGAGCUGUACCUGAGUGGAGAUGUAGGGCCGGCUACCAUGGAGCAUCGGAGGCAUGGCAGUGCUGUGGUCGGCUGCUUGCCGGUAGCACCAGAGAAGACGUCGCAGUGGCCGUGCUUGCUAGCAUGGCGGCAGCCAGGAAAGUCAACGCAGCAACCAAGGACUCGAACGAACGGAUCGGCGGAAGAGCCGCCUCGCACGACCUCCACCUCCGCUGCCUAUACAGCCUGCCAGGCGACUGUCGAGCCACCU
Long non-coding RNA from Triticum aestivum (bread wheat), 2471 nucleotides. RefSeq lists it as uncharacterized. The transcript is spliced from 10 exons. NCBI's taxonomy places the organism in Eukaryota, Viridiplantae, Streptophyta, Magnoliopsida, Poales, Poaceae. The record is from RefSeq and is a predicted model, not a curated record.